Taeniopygia guttata (zebra finch) is the source of this 2409-nucleotide long non-coding RNA. RefSeq lists it as uncharacterized. The record is from RefSeq and is a predicted model, not a curated record. Lineage: Eukaryota; Metazoa; Chordata; Aves; Passeriformes; Estrildidae.
GCUCACAGGGGGUGGGGAAACUCCCCAAAUCCCCUCUUACACUGAUGAACUGAAAAAGGGACAUCCAAAUGGCCACGGGCCGAGGGCAGGGCAGCCCCUGGCUGUGACACUGCACCGAGUUGUCUUCUCCAAGGAGAAAUGAGAGGUGCCAGCAGGAAAAGGGAAAGGGAAAGCUCAUGAUGUCCCUGCUCCCAGUUCAGGUCCUGCAACACACUCUGCUUCUCCCCUCGGCCUUUCCAUGGGGGUUAGCCCCAUCCUGCUCAUCUCUCAGGAGUCCCAGGAGGGAGGAAAGAUGCAGGAAUUGCUGCCACUGAAUUCUGCAGCUUUCCAGGGAAACGGCAGGGCAGGUAAUUAAUUAUUCCUGCUAAUAGUGCCGGACAGGCCCUCGGCUGCUCCCCCAGAAGCACAGGCUGUGAGUAUCUCCCUGCACAGGUUGUUGCUGACAGUGUUCCAGGGGCUGUGUGUGAUCCUGCUUGGAUGGAAAGGGCAGCUGAGGCUCCCUGAUUUACUUACAGCCUUUGAGGACUGGGAUUAGACCGGCUGGGCAAAGCCACCUCUGCUGUGGGUGGGAUUCUGCUGCUUCCCACCAGCACUGCCCAGCAAUGCAGCAAUUUAAGUCCUGCAUGGACCACUGGGAGGGUCUAUCCUGUCCUUCCUGGGCAGCCUGGUCUGCUCUGAGCCUGGAAAUGCAGCCUCUUUUGGGAGUCAUGCAAGGGUAGGAGGUGUCCUACAGGCAGCUUGUGGAGAUUUUUGUCCCUCUGCAAGGGACACUGGAGUGCUCCUGGACACCCUGAGGGGACGAACAGGGAGCCUGCAUGUGUCCCCAUCCCCAAACUGGGUCAUGCCUAGGCUGGGGCAGGUCCAGUUUUGUAGCUGAGAAUCAGAAUCCCAGAAUCAUUUCAGUUGGCAAAGACCUCUGAGUCCAAAAGUUUACCCAGCCCUGCUAAGGAGAGAUGCUCUGAGGGUGUUACAGUUCCACCAGGCCAGCCCAGCAUCCUGUCCCCAGCUGCAGCUGCCCACGGACACCCAAGGAAGACUGAAACAAUUCAAUAUUUCCCCUUGGCAUUCUCCAGCACCUCCAAGGGAGAGGUUUUUGCCAGGUCCAGAUAUCCCUGGGAGCUGAGAACCCUCAGUGUGCUGUGAGUCCAUCCCCACUGCAAGGUGCCCAGAGCCUGUAGGACACCCCCAUUCCCUCCCAUCCCAAUCACUGAACCUUUUGAUAAAGAUUAUCCCGGGGCUGUAGGAUUUUCACCUUCCUCCUCUACACCAAUCUCUCCAAGCGCUUGCAGCUGCAGAUUCCCUGUGGGACGAGCUCUCUCUCCUGAUGACAGCACUCUGCCCCACUCCUCAUCCUCACCCUGGCCCUGCUGCCAUCCCCAGUGGACUUUGUUUUCCCUGAUUUGCCGAGUGUUUUGUGUGCCUCGCUGUGGUGAUCACGCUCCAGCCGUCAGCUUGCAGCGAGUCCCCGGGAGAAGGUGCCAACUUUAACAUAUGCCUGAACAGUUCUUUUCAGACAUAUACAAACUGGAACAAUGCCUCGCUGGGAAUAUGCUUGUUGGUGCAAUUUGCCAACUGUGGCUGCAGAUCUGCUCUUUUCAGCACGCACCAACUAUUUGUAGACGGUGCAAAAGCCGGGAUCGCCGCGCACGGAUGGGGGCUCUGGGAAGCUCUCUCCAGGCAUGCAGGAACCAGCAGGGAAGAGAAUCAAGGGCUGGAAAAAGACCUCUGAGUCUCACAAAUAAUGACCAGAUCAAACAUUUUGCUUCUGAGAACCUCAGUCUUUUUUUCCCUUUGCUUUAGGGAAGCCAGCACUGAUUUCUCCACUACCUGAAGCGGGAGCACGUUCUCACCUUGUGCGAGCAGGACUUUGCUCGGCUCACCCCAUUUCCUGGGUUCAGACAUCUCCCAGUGCUUCCUCCAUCACUGGUGUUCACCUUUCAGACUGCAGUGCUGGACAUUUCUGGGAGCAGACUGCCCACUCCUGGGGCUGUCAUCCUCAAGGAUGUACUGCUGACCACACCCUGGUGCCCACACCAGUGCCAGCCAUCAGCUCCCUGUACCUGACAUUUGCCUUCCUCACGUAUUUGGGUGAUAAAUUCUUCACGGCCUGGAGCUUGGUGCAGAACAACACCAGGAGGUUGCCUGAAAACAUGGGUCCUGAGGACUCCAGCAACACCCUGUGGAUGUCAGGAAAGAAGGGCAGGAAGCCAUGGGGGAGAAACCUCUAGAAUCUUGGUAAAAGCACUGGGAAUGAGACACUGGGAUGGCAGAGCUUGAGCCAAGGAAUGGGGUGGGCAGGUGAAGGUGUUUGCUGAGACCCAGGCUGGGGCCCAGAGAGCUGUGAGUGCUUGGUGAGGGCCCUUUUUUGGGAAACCUGACCCUCUUGGGAGCAGAUCCUCUGACAGCUGC